Molecule: ribosomal RNA, 253 nt
Filed under: uncultured bacterium
Lineage: Bacteria
Description: partial 16S ribosomal RNA
Rfam family: Bacterial small subunit ribosomal RNA
Source: RNAcentral
UACGUAGGGGGCAAGCGUUGUCCGGAAUUAUUGGGCCUAAAGCAUCCGUAGCCGGUUCUACAAGUCUUCCGUUAAAUCCACCUGCUUAACAGAUGGGCUGCGGAAGAUACUAUAGAGCUAGGAGGCGGGAGAGGCAAGCGGUACUCGAUGGGUAGGGGUAAAAUCCGUUGAUCCAUUGAAGACCACCAGUGGCGAAGGCGGCUUGCCAGAACGCGCUCGACGGUGAGGGAUGAAAGCUGGGGGAGCAAACCGG